CAUGGCGCGAAUAAUUUUGGUGUUAUCACCCUGAUCCCCAAAGUAGUUGGGGCAACGGACAUUCGCCAAUUCAGACCUAUCACAGUUAUCAAUGUUCUGGAGCACAUCUUCUCUAAAGUUUGCACGAUUAGACUCGCGCCAGGUGCUGAGAGGAUGAAUCACCCUCUUCAGACAGCUUUCUUGAAAGGGAGACGAAUCCAUGAUGGGAUUUUGUCCCUUCACGAGAUUGUGCACGAGGUGCGAUCGCGUUGCCAGAAGGGUGUCUUUCUCAAGCUGGACUUCCAUAAAGCCUAUGAUCGGCUAGACUAG
Molecule: ribosomal RNA, 309 nt
Filed under: Triticum aestivum (bread wheat)
Lineage: Eukaryota; Viridiplantae; Streptophyta; Magnoliopsida; Poales; Poaceae
Description: partial small subunit ribosomal RNA
Source: RNAcentral